This 255-nucleotide ribosomal RNA is filed under the name Enterobacter asburiae. RNAcentral's name for it is "partial 23S ribosomal RNA". It matches the Rfam family "Bacterial large subunit ribosomal RNA", at positions 2061 to 2315 of the family's 2925-position model. The record is from RNAcentral. Lineage: Bacteria; Pseudomonadati; Pseudomonadota; Gammaproteobacteria; Enterobacterales; Enterobacteriaceae.
GCAGUGUACCCGCGGCAAGACGGAAAGACCCCGUGAACCUUUACUAUAGCUUGACACUGAACACUGGUCCUUGAUGUGUAGGAUAGGUGGGAGGCUUUGAAGCGUGGACGCCAGUCUGCGUGGAGCCGACCUUGAAAUACCACCCUUUAAUGGCUGGUGUUCUAACGUAGACCCGUGAUCCGGGUUGCGGACAGUGUCUGGUGGGUAGUUUGACUGGGGCGGUCUCCUCCCAAAGAGUAACGGAGGAGCACGAAG